Non-coding RNA from Paramuricea clavata, 222 nucleotides. The record is from the annotation of a GenBank genome assembly. NCBI's taxonomy places the organism in Eukaryota, Metazoa, Cnidaria, Anthozoa, Malacalcyonacea, Plexauridae.
CAAUCAUGGACAAAAGUGUUAAUAAAAUCGAUCGACAUUUUAGGAAACUACAAUCAAAUAACUUCGUAUAUGGCCCCCCCACUCAAUGUUGCCAUGAUUUUCCUCUCAUUUUAAACGUAGUUCAACAACAUUGUGUUGGGGGAGGGGGGGGGGAUGUUUUAGACAAACUACAGGAAUUAAACUACAAUUUAAACUCUCACAGAGGCAAAUUAAAAUUUUAUU